UACGAAGGUGGCAAGCGUUGUUCGGAUUUACUGGGCGUAAAGCGCACGUAGGCGGGCUGAUAAGUCAGGGGUGAAAUCCCGAGGCUCAACCUCGGAACUGCCUUUGAUACUGUUAGUCUUGAGAUCGGGAGAGGUGAGUGGAAUUCCUAGUGUAGAGGUGAAAUUCGUAGAUAUUAGGAAGAACACCAGUGGCGAAGGCGGCUCACUGGCCCGAUACUGACGCUGAGGUGCGAAAGCGUGGGGAGCAAACAGG
RNAcentral lists this ribosomal RNA (253 nucleotides) under uncultured bacterium. RNAcentral describes it as "partial 16S ribosomal RNA". It matches the Rfam family "Bacterial small subunit ribosomal RNA", at positions 524 to 776 of the family's 1533-position model. The record is from RNAcentral.